GACGAACGCUGGCGGCGUGCUUAACACAUGCAAGUCGAACGGGGAAGCCCCAGCUUGCUGGAGUGGAUCAGUGGCGAACGGGUGAGUAACACGUGAGCAACCUGCCCCUGACUAUGGAAUAAGCGCUGGAAACGGCGUCUAAUACUGGAUACGAGAAGGGUCCGCAUGGGCACUUUCUGGAAAGUUUUUCGGUUGGGGAUGGGCUCGCGGCCUAUCAGCUUGUUGGUGAGGUAAUGGCUCACCAAGGCGACGACGGGUAGCCGGCCUGAGAGGGCGACCGGCCACACUGGGACUGAGACACGGCCCAGACUCCUACGGGAGGCAGCAGUGGGGAAUGUUGCACAAUGGACGAAAGCCUGAUGCAGCGACGCAGCGUGAGGGAUGACGGCCUUCGGGUUGUAUGCCUCUUUCAGCAGGGAAGAAGCGAAAGUGACGGUACCUGCAGAAGAAGCACCGGCUAACUACGUG
This 468-nucleotide ribosomal RNA is filed under the name uncultured bacterium. RNAcentral describes it as "partial 16S ribosomal RNA". It matches the Rfam family "Bacterial small subunit ribosomal RNA", at positions 28 to 507 of the family's 1533-position model. The record is from RNAcentral.